Long non-coding RNA from Rosa rugosa (rugosa rose), 832 nucleotides. RefSeq lists it as uncharacterized. The record is from RefSeq and is a predicted model, not a curated record. The transcript has 6 exons. NCBI's taxonomy places the organism in Eukaryota, Viridiplantae, Streptophyta, Magnoliopsida, Rosales, Rosaceae.
CCAACCCUGACUCUCUCUUUUCACAACUCCACAGCCCGGCCCCCGACUCACUCCACAGCUAUGCCUACUUUGAAGCCCUAAACUCUAAAUCCACCACCUCCGAAGCCCCGACUUUCUGGUACCAAUCCCUGCCUCCGAAGCCCUAAAUCUGAGAUUCGUCUUCGAGUCUGGUUAGUUCUCGUCCUCUCGAAUCUGGUUUUGAUUAACUGAAGGUUUUCGGGUUCUUCACUUUUGAUUUGGGAUUCUUCACAAAUCACAUUAUCCAAGGCGACCUCUCUUUAUAUGAGCAGAAGAACCCGAAGCUCAAGCUCCUUUGACCUCAUGAACGGUUUAAGAGAUCGAGUCGGUGCCUAGCACAGAUGAAGAAUCCCAUCGCAGCUGUCCAGUUCCAAAGCUGAUUCUCUCCUGAAAGAUUCUAUCCCUUUCCCCGAAAGGGCCAUGUCAUUGGCAUUUGAUAUCCUCAAUGACCUUGUGGAGGGUAGUGAAGAAUUGCCGCUAUGACUUUGCUUCAGUCAUCUUAGGAGACAAUGCUCUCAGGCGGAAUUUCAACUCAACUUUUCAGCUCAAAGAUGGUUCUGGUGCACUUGUAAGUUUUGUUAAAUCGCCUACUUGCUAGAAGGUUUGGUAAUUCAUAUGGUAUUGCUGGUAGAAGUGAGAACAGGAGCAUGGGUAGAAGCUUGGGAGCUUUGGAAAGAUUAUGAAGUCUCUGCUGCGGAAGAACAGUUAAGAGCACCAGAUGGUUUGGCAUUUUCAUAUGUGGAAUGAGGGGGCUAAAUUUGUCGUCAAUACAUAUAUCCAGGAGAUAUUAUAAUUAUUUUUUGUGUCUUAAUGU